GGACUGCUGAGCUGACUGCUUCC
RNAcentral lists this non-coding RNA (23 nucleotides) under Arabidopsis thaliana (thale cress). The record is from RNAcentral. Lineage: Eukaryota; Viridiplantae; Streptophyta; Magnoliopsida; Brassicales; Brassicaceae.